This is a long non-coding RNA of Oncorhynchus tshawytscha (Chinook salmon), 512 nucleotides long. The record is from Ensembl. NCBI's taxonomy places the organism in Eukaryota, Metazoa, Chordata, Actinopteri, Salmoniformes, Salmonidae.
GUUGAGGUGGGUGCUGCUCAUGAUCAUCUAGUCUAGGUGGGUUAGGGGUUAGGGGUUAGGUGGGUGCUGCUCAUGAUCAUCUAGUCUAGGUGGGUUAGGGGCUAGGGGUUAGGGGUUAAGGGUUAGGUGGGUGCUGCUCAUGAUCAUCUAGUCUAGGUGGGUUAGGGGUUAGGGUUAGGGGUUAGGUGGGUGCUGCUCAUGAUCAUCUAGUCUAGGGGGGUUAGGGUUAGGGGUUAGGGAUUAGGUGGGUGCUGCUCAUGAUCAUCUAGUCUAGGUGGGUUAGGGGCUAGGGGUUAGGGGUUAGGUGGGUGCUGCUCAUGAUCAUCUAGUCUAGGUGGGUUAGGGGCUAGGGGUUAGGUGGGUGCUGCUCAUGAUCAUCUAGUCUAGGUGGGUUGGGGUUAGGGGUUAGGGGUUAGGUGGGUGCUGCUCGUGAUAAUCUUGUCUAGGUGGGUUAGGGGUUAGGGGUUAGGGUUAGGGGUUAGGGUUAGGGGUUAGGGUUAGGGGUUAGGUGG